This 677-nucleotide ribosomal RNA is filed under the name uncultured archaeon. RNAcentral's name for it is "bacterial SSU rRNA". It matches the Rfam family "Archaeal small subunit ribosomal RNA", at positions 15 to 699 of the family's 1478-position model. The record is from RNAcentral.
UGCCAGAGGUCACUGCUAUCGGGGUUCGAUUAAGCCGUGCGAGUCGAGAGGGUUCAGACCCUCGGCGGACUGCUCAGUAACACGUGGAUAACCUGCCCUAUGGUGGAGGAUAACCCCGGGAAACUGGGGAUAAUACUCCAUAGAUUAGAGAAACUGGAAUGUUCUUUAAUCGAAAGUUCCGGCGCCAUAGGAUGGAUCUGCGGCCGAUUAGGUAGUUGUUGGGGUAACGGCCCAACAAGCCUGUAAUCGGUACGGGUUGUGGGAGCAAGAGCCCGGAGAUGGAAUCUGAGACACGAUUCCAGGCCCUACGGGGCGCAGCAGGCGCGAAAACUUUACAAUGCAGGAAACUGUGAUAAGGGAACCCCGAGUGCCCGUAUACGCGGGCUGUCCAGGUGUCUAAAACGCAUCUGAAGAAAGGGCCGGGCAAGACCGGUGCCAGCCGCCGCGGUAAUACCGGCGGCUCGAGUGGUGACCACUUUUAUUGGGCUUAAAGCGUUCGUAGCUGGACUCUUAAGUCUCUUGGGAAAUCCCGCGGCUUAACCGUGGGGCGUUUAAGAGAUACUGAGAGUCUAGGAACCGGGAGAGGUAAGAGGUACUUCGGGGGUAGAGGUGAAAUUCUGUAAUCCUCGAGGGACCACCGAUGGCGAAGGCAUCUUACCAGAACGGCUUCGACAGUG